This 847-nucleotide ribosomal RNA is filed under the name Vannella calycinucleolus. RNAcentral's name for it is "bacterial SSU rRNA". It matches the Rfam family "Eukaryotic small subunit ribosomal RNA", at positions 1006 to 1828 of the family's 1831-position model. Lineage: Eukaryota; Discosea; Flabellinia; Vannellidae. The record is from RNAcentral.
GAUUAGAUACCGUCGUAGUCUUAACUAUAAACUAUGCCGACCAGGGAUAUGAGUUGUUAUGAAUAAUUUUUAAUUAUUCAAUUUCCUCUUGUGGACCUUGUGAGAAAUCAUAAGUUUUUGGGUUCUGGGGGGAGUAUGGUCGCAAGGCUGAAACUUAAAGGAAUUGACGGAGGGGCACCACCAGGAGUGGAGCGUGCGGCUUAAUUUGACUCAACACGGGAAAACUUACCAGGUCCAGACAUUAGAAGGAUUGACAGAUUGAUAGCUCUUUCAUGAUUUAAUGGGUGGUGGUGCAUGGCCGUUCUUAGUUGGUGGAGUGAUUUGUCUGGUUAAUUCCGAUAACGAACGAGACCUUUACCAUACUAAAUAGUUUGAUUUAUUCAUUUAUGAAUAGAUUUAUUUAUAUAAACUUCUUAGAGGGACUAUUGGUUCUUAAACCAAAGGAAGUAAAGGCGAUAACAGGUCUGUGAUGCCCUUAGAUGUUCUGGGCUGCACGCGCGCUACAAUGAUAAACUCAACGAGUAUUUAAUAUUUAUUUAUUAUAUUGCUGUAUUGGAAAGUAUGGCUAAUCUUAAACGUUUAUCGUGCUUGGGAUAGAUGAUUGCAAUUAUUUAUCUUGAACCAGGAAUUCCUAGUAAUCGUAUAUCAUCAGUGUGCGAUGAUUACGUCCCUGCCCCUUGUACACACCGCCCGUCGCUGCUACCGAUUGGAUGAUCCGGUGAAAUCCUCGGAUAAUGAUAAAUACUUUACUUUGUAAAGUUUAUCGUUAGAAGUUGAUUAAACCUUAUCGUCUAGAGGAAGCAAAAGUCGUAACAAGGUUUCCGUAGGUGAACCUGCAGAAGGAUCA